This 598-nucleotide long non-coding RNA is filed under the name Chinchilla lanigera (long-tailed chinchilla). Its description in RNAcentral is "lncRNA (ENSCLAG00000025941.1)". Lineage: Eukaryota; Metazoa; Chordata; Mammalia; Rodentia; Chinchillidae. The record is from RNAcentral.
GCAACAGUCAAAAUGCUACUAAGAAGGAAAGAGAGCUAGAUGAACCAUCUGGAGCGAAUUCUACAGCCCACGAGGACUCUGGCCCAUGUGACACUCAUCUGUCUCAUUGCCUUCUAUCAAAGUAUACGCCUGCUUUGUCCACAGACUGUGGAUUUUCUAGGCACCAAGGUUGCUCCAGUGGCUCCGCAGCUGCCUGCUCCUCCACCUCAAGACAGCUCAUGCUACAAGACUAUCGGGAGGAAUGUCAUCCAGGGGCAGCAGCUCGUGGCUGCUUGUGAGGGCACCUCUGCCUCCUGACACUGAAAUCACAGUCAGCACCCAUGGGGAAAGAAAGAGACUGUCUGCAAUAGGUCAGGCCACUUUGCUUAUUUUCCUUUUCUGAUCAGUGAUAUCAGAAGGAUACCAUGAGGUACCUGGAUUUCAGCAAGGCAUUUGGAAGCACGGAAUCUUAAAAUCAGUAGAUACCUUACAGAGGAGAUGUACAUCGUUGAACUGGAGGCAAACACACAGAGAAUAUGAUGGAACGCAACAGCCUUGCUCACACAAGUUUGUCAUACAAUCUCUGCAUAUUAAGAAUCUUAUUUUAGUGGUUAACUCA